RNAcentral lists this ribosomal RNA (352 nucleotides) under uncultured eukaryote. Its description in RNAcentral is "partial 18S ribosomal RNA". It matches the Rfam family "Eukaryotic small subunit ribosomal RNA", at positions 1470 to 1796 of the family's 1831-position model. The record is from RNAcentral.
CCCUUAGAUGUUCUGGGCCGCACGCGCGCUACACUGAUCGAUUCAACGAGUUUUGAAAUAAUUUUUAUAAUUUUUCAUAUCCUUUGUCGGAAGGCAUGGGUAAUCUUUUAAAUGUCGAUCGUGAUGGGGCUAGAUUCUUGCAAUUAUUAAUCUCCAACGAGGAAUUCCUAGUAAACGCAAGUCAUCAGCUUGCAUUGAUUACGUCCCUGCCCUUUGUACACACCGCCCGUCGCACCUACCGAUUGAAUGGUCCGGUGAAAUCUUCGGAUUGAGACUUUGUUUUCUUCACGGAAAACGCUGUUUUAAAAAGUUGAUUAAACCUUACCAUUUAGAGGAAGGUGAAGUCGUAACA